UACGUAGGGGGCAAGCGUUGUCCGGAUUUAUUGGGCGUAAAGAGCGUGUAGGCGGCCAUGUAGGUCCGUUGUGAAAACUCGAGGCUCAACCUCGAGACGCCGAUGGAAACCAUGUGGCUAGAGUCCGGAAGAGGAGAGUGGAAUUCCUGGUGUAGCGGUGAAAUGCGCAGAUAUCAGGAAGAACACCCGUGGCUAAGGCGGCUCUCUAGUACGGUACUGACACUGAGACGCGAAAGCGUGGGGAGCAAACAGG
Molecule: ribosomal RNA, 253 nt
Filed under: uncultured bacterium
Lineage: Bacteria
Description: partial 16S ribosomal RNA
Rfam family: Bacterial small subunit ribosomal RNA
Source: RNAcentral